GUCGAGAAUAAUUCACAAUGGGGGAAACCCUGACGCAGCGACGCCGCGUGAGUGAUGAAGGCCUUCGGGUCGUAAAGCUCUGUUGCAGGGGAAUAAAAAAAUGAAGGUACCCUGUGAGGAAGGAUCGGCUAACUUCGUGCCAGCAGCCGCGGUAAGACGAGGGAUCCUAGCGUUGCUCGGAAUCAUUGGGCGUAAAGAGGGCGUAGGUGGCUUGGUAAGUCAGGUGUGAAAGCCCAGGGCUCAACCCUGGAAGUGCAUUUGAUACUGCUGAGCUUGAGUGUCGGAGAGGUUACCGGAAUACCUGGUGUAGUGGUGAAAUACGUAGAUAUCAGGUGGAACACCGGAGGCGAAGGCGGGUAACUGGACGAACACUGACACUGAGGCCCGAAAGCGUGGGGAUCAAACAGGAUUAGAUACCCUUGUAGUCC
Molecule: ribosomal RNA, 428 nt
Filed under: uncultured bacterium
Lineage: Bacteria
Description: partial 16S ribosomal RNA
Rfam family: Bacterial small subunit ribosomal RNA
Source: RNAcentral